ACACAGAAAUCAUAUGAGAGACUUGGGGUCAGAAUGAGAAAGUACUUGGGGAUGAGACCUGAGGACCCAGUAUCCCAAGGGCUCUUGAAAGUUCAUUGUGUGAUUAAAGCCUGGCAAAAUACGCAGAAAAUGCUUUAGAAGGUGGGGGGGAUGUAGUGAAUGGUCACUGGGGGACCCUCCUGUGGGAGGCCCUGGAGGCGUGUGUCUGGAGGGGAGAUAAGAAGGAAAAAAAAAAAGAAAAAAAAAAAGUGAAACUAAUGGUAUUGACAGUGCAGCGGGUAGUGAAGCAGAGGGUUAGAGAAAGAGGAAAAAAUCUUCAGGGGGAGUCAGGGCCAGGAUGGAAAGGAGAGAAAGAGAGAUGAAGGAAUGGCAGGCAAAGAAGGCUGCCUGUGUUGUGGCCUGAGUCCUAGCAGAGACAGGCUUUGAUAAGAUGUUUUAAGUGUGGCCAGGCUGGCCACUUCGAAUAGGAAUAUCUGGAGUGGAAGAAGGAGGAAAGAAGGAAAAUGGCAUGAAAUAUACUAUAUUGAUAUGUUGCUUCAGUAUCUUGGAGGGAAAAGGUAUGGAAUUAAGUUGGACCCUGACUGAGCCUUUGGUGCUGGUAUUAGAAAAGUAUGGGCUGGAGAAAGAUAAAGGAAGUGUUAAAAGGGUUGCUGAAGGUGUUAAAGGUGUGGCAUGUAGUAUUUAACAGAGCUGUUUGAAGUUGAAUGAGCAGGGAAAGGUGAUGUAGGCAUUAUCUAAGUAACAGUCGAGAAGUUUUGGUAUAUUUGCUGUGGUGUUUGUUCAGUUUCCCAAGCAUCGGGGAGGGGGGAACAGCCUGCUCCACCAGGGGCCUCUCCAGCGGCCGCAGGGGGGCUUCGGCUCCAGCGCCUGAAGCGCCUCCUCCCCCUCCUUCUGCACUGACUUUGGUGUCUGUGGAGGGGUUUCUCGCUCUCCCAACUGCUGUUGAGCAGCAGGCUUUUGUUUGUUUCUUUGUUUCUUUGUUUUCGUGGAUGUGCUCUCACAGAGGCAGGGACUGUAUUGCUCAUGGCUUGGCUCUGGGCAGCAGUGAGCCCCUUAGGGGCCGGAUGAAAUUAUCCCUUACCUGCCACGGGGACGCUUCUGGGUUUUUCUCACGGGGGCUGCCACUGCAGUUUCCCACGCCCCCCACUCACACCCCCCGAACCUUGCCAUCAAACCCAAUACACUGGGGAACAGCUAGGUCAUUACUGACUUGUAAAGUAUCAGGGAUUAAAUUAACUAAUGAAACCCUAAAAAGUGAUGGGGGCAGAAGGGGCUGGGAUAACAGUGCCACUUUUGGGGGAUACCAAGCUGAGACUAGGGGAUAAAAUGAUCACUGGGUAAUUAUUGUAUGUACCCAAGGCAGGGACUAACUUGUUGGGAAGGGAUUUGAUGAUUAAAUUGAGCAUUCAAAUAGUAAAUUGUUAGACUGGAAUAUCAGUGUUAUUAAUGGAGUGCUCUCAGGCCCUGAGAGCAAACAUACAUGUAUAGUCACCUCUGAUUGGAAAGGCCCUGAAAUGGGGGCGGAAGCAACAAUAUAGGUGGACAAUUUUAGCUCAGGGGUUUACAGGGCCACCUAUCUAUUUGGGUAAAUUCUAAAAAAAAAAAAAAAAAAAAAAUUUUAAUAUUUUGGAGCAAUUACAACCUCCCAAGGAGGUAUUAAUGUUAACAAAUAUGUGGAUCAUUUUCUAUUGUCAGGACAGGAGAAAAGA
This 1709-nucleotide long non-coding RNA is filed under the name Anas platyrhynchos platyrhynchos (common mallard). RNAcentral describes it as "lncRNA (ENSAPLG00000030565.1)". Lineage: Eukaryota; Metazoa; Chordata; Aves; Anseriformes; Anatidae. The record is from RNAcentral.